Molecule: long non-coding RNA, 298 nt
Organism: Passer domesticus (house sparrow)
Lineage: Eukaryota; Metazoa; Chordata; Aves; Passeriformes; Passeridae
Exons: 3
Source: RefSeq, a predicted model, not a curated record
AGCACUGCUCCUCUCACCAGACAAGGGAAAGCUCCUGUAUCACUGCCAAAUUGGGCAGCCAAAAUACAACAAAAUCCACCUGCAGAUUCUGCACUUCUGGCCUGAGAUUCUUUCACCCAGCCUGGCUGGAGCUGAACAUGGCCACUGCAUCCCCAGAUUUGCAAUUGAACUUCUCAUCCCACCUUGAUUUCCCCUGACAGCGUUGGAGAUAGAGGAUGUUUUGGGUCCUUGAGAUCAACAGCUCUGGGCUGACUUUUUAAAACCACCGGUGGAACAAUUCCUUUCCUUUCCUUUGCUC